ACGUAUUCCCUUGUUCUCUAGGUGGGCUCCUGAUUGCUGAAACUUGAAUGUAUUCCCUUGUUAUCCAAGUGGGCUCCUGAUUGCCGAAACUUGAAUGUAUUCCCUUGUUCUCCAGGUGGGCUCCUGAUUGCUGAACUUGAAAUGUAUUCCCUUGCUCUCUAGGUGGGCUCCUGAUUUCAACAAAAAUAGACAAAACAAAGAAUAUUUUCUGCCCCAGUUUGGUAGCUGGGUACAUAUGUGAUUGUUAACCCGUUCAUAUUACCAAAUAUCAAUAAGAACUUGAAAGCUGAAACUUGAAUUGUAUUCCCUUGCUCUCCAGGUGGGAUCCUGAUUGCCGAACUUGAAUUUUAUUCCCUUGUUCUCCAGGUGGGCGCCUGAUUG
This 381-nucleotide long non-coding RNA is filed under the name Nicotiana tabacum (common tobacco). RNAcentral's name for it is "long non-coding RNA (NTAB_LNC005684)". The record is from RNAcentral. Lineage: Eukaryota; Viridiplantae; Streptophyta; Magnoliopsida; Solanales; Solanaceae.